GACGAACGCUGGCGGCGUGCCUAAUACAUGCAAGUAGAACGCUGAAGGAGGAGCUUGCUUCUCUGGAUGAGUUGCGAACGGGUGAGUAACGCGUAGGUAACCUGCCUGGUAGCGGGGGAUAACUAUUGGAAACGAUAGCUAAUACCGCAUAAGAGUAGAUGUUGCAUGACAUUUGCUUAAAAGUUGCAAUUGCAUCACUACCAGAUGGACCUGCGUUGUAUUAGCUAGUUGGUGGGGUAACGGCUCACCAAGGCGACGAUACAUAGCCGACCUGAGAGGGUGAGCGGCCACACUGGGACUGAGACACGGCCCAGACUCCUACGGGAGGCAGCAGUAGGGAAUCUUCGGCAAUGGACGGAAGUCUGACCGAGCAACGCCGCGUGAGGGAAGAAGGUUUUCGGAUCGUAAAGCUCUGUUGUAAGAGAAGAACGAGUGUGAGAGUGGAAAGUUCACACUGUGACGGUAUCUUACCAGAAAGGGACGGCUAACUACGUG
Molecule: ribosomal RNA, 495 nt
Filed under: uncultured bacterium
Lineage: Bacteria
Description: partial 16S ribosomal RNA
Rfam family: Bacterial small subunit ribosomal RNA
Source: RNAcentral